Molecule: transfer RNA, 65 nt
Filed under: Dipodomys ordii (Ord's kangaroo rat)
Lineage: Eukaryota; Metazoa; Chordata; Mammalia; Rodentia; Heteromyidae
Rfam family: tRNA
About the family: Transfer RNA (tRNA) molecules are approximately 80 nucleotides in length.
Source: Rfam by way of RNAcentral
GGUGGCUCAGCGGUAGAGCGCUUGCCUCACAUGCAUGAGGCCCUGAGUUUGAUUCCUCAGCACCA